This 465-nucleotide ribosomal RNA is filed under the name uncultured Klebsiella sp. Its description in RNAcentral is "bacterial SSU rRNA". It matches the Rfam family "Bacterial small subunit ribosomal RNA", at positions 338 to 795 of the family's 1533-position model. Lineage: Bacteria; Pseudomonadati; Pseudomonadota; Gammaproteobacteria; Enterobacterales; Enterobacteriaceae. The record is from RNAcentral.
CCUACGGGAGGCAGCAGUGGGGAAUAUUGCACAAUGGGCGCAGGCCUGAUGCAGCCAUGCCGCGUGUGUGAAGAAGGCCUUCGGGUUGUAAAGCACUUUCAGCGGGGAGGACGGCGUUAAGGUUAAUAACCUUGGCGAUUGACGUUACCCGCAGAAGAAGCACCGGCUAACUCCGUGCCAGCAGCCGCGGUAAUACGGAGGGUGCAAGCGUUAAUCGGAAUUACUGGGCGUAAAGCGCACGCAGGCGGUCUGUCAAGUCGGAUGUGAAAUCCCCGGGCUCAACCUGGGAACUGCAUUCGAAACUGGCAGGCUAGAGUCUUGUAGAGGGGGGUAGAAUUCCAGGUGUAGCGGUGAAAUGCGUAGAGAUCUGGAGGAAUACCGGUGGCGAAGGCGGCCCCCUGGUCAAAGACUGACGCUCAGGUGCGAAAGCGUGGGGAGCAAACAGGAUUAGAUACCCGUGUAGUC